AGAGUUUGAUCCUGGCUCAGGACGAACGCUGGCGGUGUGCUUAAGACAUGCAAGUCGAGCGGUCCCGCAAGGGACAGCGGCGGACGGGUGAGUAACACGUGGAUAACCUGCCCGACUCCCCGGGAUAACAGGCCGAAAGGCCUGCUAAUACCGGGUAAGCUCACAUCACCGCAUGGUGGUGGGAGAAAAGGUCCCGCAAGGGACUGGGGUUGGAGGGGUCCGCGGUCCAUUAGCUAGUUGGGGGGGUAACGGCCCACCAAGGCGACGAUGGAUAGCCGGCCUGAGAGGGCGACCGGCCACACUGGGACUGAGACACGGCCCAGACUCCUACGGGAGGCAGCAGUCGGGAAUUUUGGGCAAUGGCCGAAAGGGCUGACCCAGCAACACCGCGUGAGUGAAGAAGGCCUUCGGGUUGUAAAGCUCUGUUGCCCGUGAAGAACGGUGCUUUCAGGAAAUGGGAAGCACUUGACGGUAGCGGGAGAGGAAGCUCCGGCUAACUACGUGCCAGCAGCCGCGGUAAUACGUAGGGAGCGAGCGUUGUCCGGAUUUAUUGGGCGUAAAGGGCGUGUAGGCGGCUUUUUAAGUCUGAAGUGAAAACUCGGGGCUCAACCCCGAGCCGGCUUCGGAUACUGGAGAGCUUGAGUGCUCUAGAGGGCAGUGGAAUUCCCGGUGUAGCAGUGAAAUGCGUAGAGAUCGGGAGGAACACCAGUGGCGAAGGCGACUGCCUGGGGAGUAACUGACGCUGAGGCGCGAAAGCUGGGGGAGCAAACGGGAUUAGAUACCCCGGUAGUCCCAGCCGUAAACGAUGAGUGCUAGGUGUAGCGGGUAUCGACCCCCGCUGUGCCGGAGUUAACGCAAUAAGCACUCCGCCUGGGGAGUACGGCCGCAAGGUUGAAACUCAAAGGAAUUGACGG
This 914-nucleotide ribosomal RNA is filed under the name uncultured bacterium. Its description in RNAcentral is "bacterial SSU rRNA". It matches the Rfam family "Bacterial small subunit ribosomal RNA", at positions 8 to 916 of the family's 1533-position model. The record is from RNAcentral.